RNAcentral lists this ribosomal RNA (265 nucleotides) under Staphylococcus aureus. RNAcentral's name for it is "partial 23S ribosomal RNA". It matches the Rfam family "Bacterial large subunit ribosomal RNA", at positions 2659 to 2925 of the family's 2925-position model. Lineage: Bacteria; Bacillati; Bacillota; Bacilli; Caryophanales; Staphylococcaceae. The record is from RNAcentral.
AAUUUGAGAGGAGCUGUCCUUAGUACGAGAGGACCGGGAUGGACAUACCUCUGGUGUACCAGUUGUCGUGCCAACGGCAUAGCUGGGUAGCUAUGUGUGGACGGGAUAAGUGCUGAAAGCCAUCUAAGCAUGAAGCCCCCCUCAAGAUGAGAUUUCCCAACUUCGGUUAUAAGUCCCUCAAAGAUGAUGAGGUUAAUAGGUUCGAGGUGGAAGCAUGGUGACAUGUGGAGCUGACGAAUACUAUCGAUCGAAGACUUAAUCAAAA